This is a small nucleolar RNA of Dendrobium catenatum, 106 nucleotides long. The record is from RefSeq and is a predicted model, not a curated record. Lineage: Eukaryota; Viridiplantae; Streptophyta; Magnoliopsida; Asparagales; Orchidaceae.
AAGCAUAAUGAGGACAUUUCAUAUGCAUCUCCUUAAAUCUCUCCCAACUUUUAUAAAUUGACUCUCCUUCAAAUAGUAAAAAAGAUGUGAUAUUAUUCCUAAGCUU